This 468-nucleotide ribosomal RNA is filed under the name uncultured bacterium. RNAcentral describes it as "partial 16S ribosomal RNA". It matches the Rfam family "Bacterial small subunit ribosomal RNA", at positions 28 to 507 of the family's 1533-position model. The record is from RNAcentral.
GACGAACGCUGGCGGCGUGCUUAACACAUGCAAGACGAACGGAAAGGCCCUGCUUUUGUGGGGUGCUCGAGUGGCGAACGGGUGAGUAACACGUGAGUAACCUGCCCUUGACUUUGGGAUAACUUCAGGAAACUGGGGCUAAUACCGGAUAGGAGCUCCUGCUGCAUGGUGGGGGUUGGAAAGUUUCGGCGGUUGGGGAUGGACUCGCGGCUUAUCAGCUUGUUGGUGGGGUGGUGGCUUACCAAGGCUUUGACGGGUAGCCGGCCUGAGAGGGUGACCGGCCACAUUGGGACUGAGAUACGGCCCAGACUCCUACGGGAGGCAGCAGUGGGGAAUAUUGCACAAUGGGCGGAAGCCUGAUGCAGCAACGCCGCGUGCGGGAUGACGGCCUUCGGGUUGUAAACCGCUUUCGCCUGUGACGAAGCGUGAGUGACGGUAAUGGGUAAAGAAGCACCGGCUAACUACGUG